Molecule: long non-coding RNA, 1004 nt
Filed under: Sinocyclocheilus anshuiensis
Lineage: Eukaryota; Metazoa; Chordata; Actinopteri; Cypriniformes; Cyprinidae
Description: lncRNA (ENSSANG00000046223.1)
Source: RNAcentral
AGAGACACACACACACACACACACACACACACACACAGAACCAACGCGUCGUCGCUUUGAUCCAGCUUGAUCUUUACAUUCACUCUUGGAUAACUGGACAAAGUGAUAAACUGGUUAGUUAUGUUUCCUAGUCUCUGGUUAACUCUCCCGUACUCACAUUUCUGAAGAAAUCCAAAUGUUCCGCGGCUGCAGAACUGCAACUGAUCCAACUCUUCUACAUUAUUAAUUAAACCAGCCCUAAACAAAAGCCGAUGGUCAGUAAAAAACACACACACUUGACAUGCAAAAUACGUUUGGUAUUAACGUAAAAAAAAAAUCGCAAUAAGAAACUCACAGAGCGAUAUAAAGUGUAUCAGAAAAGGUGCGUUGAUUGUGAAGCGUGUGAAAGGAAGGGGAACUCAGUCUGCCGGAACCUUCGGUGAAGCCGUCAGGGAAUGAAAUAAGAGUUGCACGUCACGUGUCGUGCUGGUAUUCGGCUUUUGCGCAGUCUCUAGGCACCUGUUUCUGUUACGAGCGCCAUGUCUUGCGCCACUGACUAUGACGUGCAGUUCGCGUCGCGUUUCUCGGCGGAGGACGCGGAGUUCCAGCGGUCCGGCAGCGCGAGCCAGACCCGCCGCCCGUGCUCGAGGACUGGAGAGCGGCGCGCGGGCGCAGAGACAGGGACAGACGACUCCCGGAGCAGCGGCAGCACGAGCCCCGCGGGCAUCAUUUCCCGGACCGCCGCAAUGAACGGAACUCCGGCUCUCAGUCUCACGGCCAGAGGUCUCGUUACUGACCCACGGCGACGGCGUCUGACCUAGUGUGCGAUGUUUGUUUGAUCAUUCCUUUCCUUGGUGGAAUUACACUUCCCUUUGUAAAUAAAGCAGUUCAAAUUAUAUCCUGCCCUCAGUGUGUGUGUGUGUGUGUGUGAGAGAGAGAGAGAGAGAGAGAGAGAGUGUUUAGGUGUGUGUGUUCAUUGUGGCUGAUGUUCAUCUAUUUUAAAGCAGCAUUUUGAGCCUCGGGCA